Cimex lectularius (bed bug) is the source of this 5215-nucleotide RNA transcript. It is a transcript of the gene named high affinity cAMP-specific 3',5'-cyclic phosphodiesterase 7A-like, with no coding region annotated. Lineage: Eukaryota; Metazoa; Arthropoda; Insecta; Hemiptera; Cimicidae. The transcript is spliced from 19 exons. The record is from RefSeq and is a predicted model, not a curated record.
ACGACGACUCAGUCGCGAACCAGACAUGAUACCUUUCACGUCAAUUCCGUUCUCGGGCAAUUGUUGGAUCGUCGUACGCCAUGUCCGCAGUGGAUCGACGCCGCUCUAACGUACUAGCUACUCGCCUGGGAGAUGAGACCGUCUAAACCCUUGUUUACAUAUUGAUUUUUAAAAAAAUUUAAGCGUAAAAUUUUGAAGGGAAAAAUUCAAUUGCAAUGGUGUCGAUCGACACCGAUCCUCUCGAUCUCGUAGGGCUUUUCAAUAAGGGGCGAAUGAGAUGGCGAGAAUAAAAUUUUAAAACGCGUUCCUUUUUUAAUUGGAAACGACAGUUGGUGAGGAGGUGCACGCAGAAAUUCGUCGGUAAUUAAUUAAUCCUCGACCGACGAAUUUCAAUAAAAAUGAGCUAUCCCGGGGGGUGGCUAUCGGUCCUGGGGUACGCGACGAUUUAAAAGUGGCCGUACCGAGCAAAGAUACCGUGUAGAGGGGAUAUUGAUCGAACCUAGGGAAGGGGUUGUUAUCAAGUGGCGCUGCGUUAGGCGCGGGUCAGAACCGUGUCGUUAGAGCGUGCAUACUUAGUGCCAGUGCCAGUAUAGUGCCUGUGCGCCCAGCAAUAGCACUACGUUCAGGUAUGCAAUCCCAUUGCGGACUUUGUGCGGCACUGGGAACUGUCUUCAGAAGACUUAUGUGCAUCGCUCCGUCGAGGAGGGGAUCCCACGAUAGUUAUUACACAAAUAUCGAACGCCAUCAUGGAUCGCCACAACCGUCCUUGGACACAUCAGAUCCAAACGCAGUACUUAUCAGAAUGGAAGAACAUGAUAAAUUUUACUGUGAUUCUAAGCGACUUUCCAAUAGUGAAGUACAGUUAGUGGCAGCGCUUGAUUACCGAGGUUGGAAGACAGGAAAAUUUCUUACAAUUCAUAAAAGACGCCGGAGAAGGCUGACGACACGUUCUCUUCAUGAUACUGCACUUCUUGAUGACCUUCAUCACGGGCAAGUGCAAUGUGUCUUGGACAGGGUUUGGAAAUGGCCUUUUAAUGCCUUUACUUUAGAUACUGCUACAGGUGGUAGAUCACUGCCAGUUUUAUGUGUUCAUCUUUUUCAUUGGUAUGGCCUUAUUGACCAUUUUAACUUAGAUGUUGUUAGAAUAUGGAAAUUUUUUAGUUUAGUAGAAGAGGGUUAUCAUAGUACAAACCCUUACCAUAAUGCAAUACAUGCAACUGAUGUCACUCAAGCAAUGCAUUGCUUUCUCCAAGAAGAAAAGAUUAGGAGAUAUUUAACUUACACAGAGAUUCUGUCAGCGUUAAUAGCUGCUGUGACUCACGAUUUAGACCAUCCAGGUGUUAAUCAGCCUUUCCUUAUUGCAACUUCCAACCAUUUAGCCGCUCUUUAUGAGAACACUUCGGUGCUAGAGAAUCAUCAUUGGAGAUCUGCUAUCGGUUGUUUGCUCGAGAGUCACUUGGCAGAACAAGUAGUGAGUGUCAGGCCGGAACUAGAAAAACAAAUCGCUUCCUUAAUCCUCGCAACAGAUAUUACAAGACAACAAGAAUUUCUAACUAAAUUUAGGAAUUUCCUUGAUGAGGAGAGUCUUGAUAUGAAGAAAAGUGAGGAUCGGCAUUUCAUUCUUCAAAUCGCCCUGAAAUGUGCAGACAUUUCAAAUCCCUGUAGACCAUGGGAUAUCAGCAAAAAAUGGUCACUAAAGGUUUGUGAAGAAUUCUUUAGGCAAGGUGAUUAUGAACGUCAGUUAAAUCUUCCAGUUACUGCACUUUGUGAUAGACAUACUACUUCUGUGCCGAAAAUUCAAGCUGGAUUCUUCAGAUUUGUUGUCGAACCAUUAUAUAAGGAAUGGCAUCGGUUCUUAGACACGCCACUUUCACGGGAUUUAAUGAAGUAUCUAAAAAGCAAUCAGUCAAAAUGGGAGAAUUUGAUUCAACAAGAAAUUGCUGAAGAAACUAGAACAGAAAUAUCGGAGGCUGAAGAAAUACCCGAUGAGGUGGGAAGUAGUAUACAGCAUGUCGAAGAACGUCGUUGUUCUUUAUUAACAGUCCCAAGUAGGACAUUUGAAAAAAGGAGACAUUCAGUGCCUCUUAGUGUUAGUGGAAAAUCAACUAAUGGACAAAAUUCUUCCCGAAGAGAAAGUUUGCCAGAUCCAAGUAGAAAAAGGUUUAGCCCAAUGUUUGAUGAAGAUGACGAGCUUUCUAUUGUCUCUUCCUGUUCUUCCCUGAGGCGUUCUUCAGGUGGAAGUAACACAGAUGACAGACCUGUUAGUUCAGAAGCAUUGUUGCCAGAUGUAUCAAUAGCAUCUAUGACUUCUUCUAGUGAGGUACAGAAACUGACGUCAAUCCUCCAUGGAAACAUAUCCACAUCAUCCUCAUUGCAAGGAAGAUUGACCAGACAGCAAACCUUCCCACCUGUCCAGCCUUACAUAAGGCCGAGGUACCUAUCAGCUACUGGAGAGUUGAGGGGUAGUUCUAGCUCAGACUCGAGUGGAGGUGAACGUUGCCUAGACACUAAACCUUUAUUGGCCAAAGAGAAAGAAAAUGUCGAUCCUGAUGUUACAAAAAUAAUCCGACGAUCAGUCCCGCAGAAUUUGUGGAAAAGAAGAGGGUCAGCGCCAGUCGGGCUUCCACCUUGUGAUCCUACUAGUAUUAUACCAAGUUCGAGAAGGGGUUCAAUGCCAAAUGAGACGACAAUAGCAAGACAACAAAGUAGGCGAUGUUCACUUUCAAGUAGGCCUGUCGCCCACAUCCGCCAAGAUUGGAUUGAAUUCACAGUAUAACAACCUCAUAUAUUAACUUGGCGUUUAGCCUGAUUUUUUUUCAUUAUUUUUUAUUUUUGUCUUCCCAUCAUGACACACAAGUUACCCACUGAUGCCAUUUCGACGGUUUAACUUAAAUAAAUGAACAAUGAAGAAACUGAGUGUCAUAAUUUCUCAUGAGUCCACUAAACGGUCCAGACAAUUUUCGAUUAUAGGUUGAUACUUAUCAUUUAACUGAAAACAUUCAUUAUUUUACUUUUACAUGAAACUAUGAUAACUCAAUAAAGAUUAAGGGAUGGUUAGAUUAACAGAUUAGUAACGUUAAUGUUAAAUUUUUAAUUAACUAUACAUUUUAUUAAAGGUCUUGGCUGAGAUGAAAAAGCUGGUGUCAUGAGUGAGAUUCGAACUUGAUCUUUGUCUCAACACACACUCCUCUAACCAUUUGAACUACUGUGACUUCAAUCCGCUCAGACACCAACUCCUCAUCCCAACCUAAAACCUUUCAAAUUUUCCCUCGUUUUGCUCUAUUUUCAAUGGAUUCGAAUCCCGCUCACUACCUCUUUCAUCUCAACCAAGACCUUAAAUAAAAAGUACAAAUAAUUAAAAAGUAAUUAAUAAGUCAAUUAUGACUACUAAAUAAAGAUUCCUUACGAAUCGUCUAUUAAUGCACAUAAUACCUUGACAUAAAUCAUGUUAAAUAACCUUUUCAGGUUAUUGCUGAACAGGGCCAUUUACGAUACAAAAAUUACAUUUUGUCAUGAAACAUUUAGAUUGCUUUUAUUCAUAAAUUCAUCCGGGUCUUUUUAAACAUACACAUCUGCUUUAUUGAGUUACUAGCAAUUAUGAAGAUGCUUUUUGCAUGGCCUCAGUUGUUUUGAAAAUAACUUUCAGAGAGAAGAAAAGAUAAAUAAGGUAACUAAUUUUUUUUUCCUUCGCCUCCAAAGAAUUUCACAACUUUCUCCCUUUCCCUAUUUUUUUUUUUUUGUUUCAUUACUGAUAGAAUUAUAUAUGGAUUUUCAAAAUACAUCAAUAAAAAUUGACCCACACUCAGUUUCUUUCUAUUUUUUAUAUUUUUUUAUUAUUAAUUUUAAUUGCUAAAAUCUAAAAGUUCUUUCAUUUCAUUUUAUAAAAAUUAAUAUUUCAUUUUAACUUAACAGUAGGAUAUCUAGUGUGAAAAUGGUUAUAUCGUUUGACCAACUUGACACUUAAAUUGAUACUUUAUGUGCUUUCAAGCUUUGGCAUUCCUAUUUUCUGUUCUAUAAUUUUAAUUUAUUGUUUUUGUUUAAAAAAUAUAUAUAAAAUAUGUAUUUUAAAGAGAGCAAAAGACACUCGAGGCUUUUAUACUGUGAACUUGCGUUAUCUGGCGGUGAAGCUUUUAAGUAUGUUGUACAUAUUAACUGUCAAUAACAAAAUUGAAUGCUUGCGAAGUUUGUUGGUGUAUUUUGAUAACAGUUUAUUAUUUUAUUUUUUCAAUACUAAAAAUGAAUAAUUAAGUAGAUAAGGUUUACCGGUUUUACCAAAGCUUUUUGUCCUAUCGGCCUGUCCCUUUAUAAAUAUUGAAUGGUAUUUUGUGAAUGAUUUAGCUCUUGCGAUUGUGAAUGCUCCCAGCUUCAGUGAGGCGACAAAGGUAAACAUACAUUAAUCAAUUGGUACGAUGCAUUGUGACAAACUUUCAAUUUUAAAGAGAUGCAUGCUAAAUUUAAGAUAAAACGUUGCAUGAAAUACCAAAAUUUCUCCACAUUGAACGAUAUAACCAUUUGCAAGAUUUGAUUGUAAUUUUCUUAUAUAUAAAUUAAAUCAAUGUAUUUUGUAAUAAAGGCACGAUUUUUCUUUGUCACUUUUUUAAGAUAAGAAAUUUUCAAGACUCAAUAUUUUAAGUUAGUCUCACUCUAAUCACUCUUGCAAAGCAAUGUCCCUCCCCCCCGUACUAAUUUGUAAGUUCACCUACAGUUGUUUGUACUGUUGUGAACCUUAAAAACUUCCAAUUAAUUCAAUAGAAUUAAAAAAUGGGCGGUGUGUUUCUUAUAAAAAUUCUGAAUGUUUUCAAGGAAGCCUUGAUUAUAAUGUAAUUCAUAAUUUUAUACAAUAAAUAAACAGAUGUACAUGUGGUAUUAAGAAAUCUGUAAUCAUGAUUUAACCAGUAACAUGCUUUUGAUGAAGGACAGGCCAUCCAAUCAUUGCUUGGCCAAAGCAUGUCAAGACAAAAUGGAAACAUACGAACAUAAUUUAUCCUUAGAUGGUGAAGGAGGUAACUCAUUAACCGAAGAAGAAAGGAAAAAACGUCGGUCAAAGAAAAUGUUACGCCGUAGGUCUUCUGGCGGACCGGAAACAUUUAGACAAAAAGAUUCAACAUCAACAAAACGCAGGGGCUCGUUACCCAUAGAUGCACUCUCCUUUACUGGUGGCAGAAACAUAAAAGAGACUAUGAGGCACUGAGUGUUCGGAGGGAUGUAUGUUUUG